UUCCGGUUGAUCCUGCCGGACCUGACUGCUAUCGGAUUGAUACUAAGCCAUGCGAGUCAUUGUAGCAAUACAAGGCAGACGGCUCAGUAACGCGUAGUCAACCUACCCUAUGGACGGGGAUAACCUCGGGAAACUGAGAAUAAUACCAGAUAGAACAUUAUACCUGGAAUGGUUUAUGUUUCAAAUAAUUUAUUGCCGUAGGAUGGGACUGCGGCCUAUCAGUUUGUUGGUGAGGUAAUGGCCCACCAAGACUAUUACAGGUACGGGCUCUGAGAGGAGUAGCCCGGAGAUGGGUACUGAGACACGGACCCAGGCCCUAUGGGGCGCAGCAGGCGAGAAAACUUUGCAAUGUGCGAAAGCACGACAAGGUUAAUCCGAGUGGUUUCUGCUAAAGGAACCUUUUGCCAGUCCUAGAGACACUAGUGAAUAAGGGGUGGGCAAGUUCUGGUGUCAGCCGCCGCGGUAAAACCAGCACCUCAAGUGGUCAGGAUGAUUAUUGGGCCUAAAGCAUCCGUAGCCUGCUUUGCCAGUUUUCGGUUAAAUCCAUACGCUUAACGUAUGGGCUGCCGGAAAUACUACAAAGCUAGGGAGUGGGAGAGGUAGACGGUACUCGGUAGGAAGGGGUAAAAUCCUUUGAUCUAUUGAUGACCACCUGUGGCGAAGGCGGUCUACCAGAACACGUCCGACGGUGAGGGAUGAAAGCUGGGGGAGCAAACCGGAUUAGAUACCCGGGUAGUCCCAGCUGUAAACUAUGCAAACUCGGUGAUGCAUUGGCUUGAUGCCAAUGCAGUGCCGCA
RNAcentral lists this ribosomal RNA (797 nucleotides) under uncultured archaeon. Its description in RNAcentral is "bacterial SSU rRNA". It matches the Rfam family "Archaeal small subunit ribosomal RNA", at positions 1 to 805 of the family's 1478-position model. The record is from RNAcentral.